AACGAACGCUGGCGGCGUGUUUAAGACAUGCAAGUCGCACGGGAUAAGACAUGUAGUAAUACUUGUUUUAUUUAGUGGCGCACGGGUGAGUAACACGUGAAUUACACGCCCUGUAGUGGGGAAUAGCCCAGGGAAACUUGGAUUAAUACCCCAUGGUAUCGAAAGAUUAAAGGUGGCCGCAAGGCUGUCGCUAUAGGAUUGGUUCGCGCCCUAUCAGCUUGUUGGUGAGGUAACGGCUCACCAAGGCAAUGACGGGUACCUGGUCUGAGAGGACGAUAAGGCACAAUGGAACUGGGAAACGGUCCAGACACCUACGGGUGGCAGCAGUCGAGAAUAAUUCACAAUGGGGGCAACCCUGAUGGUGCAACGCCGCGUGGAGGAUGGCGGUCUUCGGAUUGGAAACUCCUGUCAUCUGGGAGAAAGACCUGACGGUAAAUAGCCGGCAGGGUUGAUAGUACCAGAAGAGGAAGGGACGGCUAACUUCGUGCCAGCAGCCGCCGUAA
RNAcentral lists this ribosomal RNA (503 nucleotides) under uncultured bacterium. RNAcentral's name for it is "partial 16S ribosomal RNA". It matches the Rfam family "Bacterial small subunit ribosomal RNA", at positions 29 to 523 of the family's 1533-position model. The record is from RNAcentral.